AGGGUGCAGGGCGGAUGCCUUGGCACUAGGAGCCGAUGAAAGACGUGAUAAGCUGCGAUAAGCUUCGGGGAGUGGCACAUACACUUUGAUCCGGAGAUUUCUGAAUGAGGAAACUCACUUGGAGUAAUGUCCAAGUAUCCUUAGGUGAAUACAUAGCCUAAGGAGGGGAACUCAGGGAACUGAAACAUCUAAGUACCUGAAGGAAGAGAAAGAAAUUCGAUUCCGCUAGUAGCGGCGAGCGAACGCGGAAGAGCCCAAACCAAGUUAGUUUACUAAUUUGGGGUUGCGGACAUAUCUUAAGGAGUAGUUAUUGCGAGUGGAAGAGUUCUGGAAAGUUCUACCACAGAGGGUAAUAGUCCCGUACACAAAGCCAAGAAGACUCUUGAUAUGAUCCAGAGUACCACGAGACACGUGAAACCUUGUGGGAAGCAGGGGGGACCACCCCCCAAGGCUAAAUACUACCUAGUGACCGAUAGCGUAUAGUACCGUGAGGGAAAGGUGAAAAGAACCCCGGGAGGGGAGUGAAAUAGAACCUGAAACCCUGCACUUACAAUCUGUGGGAGCGCAUUACUGGCGUGACCGCGUACUUUUUGUAGAACGGGCCAACGAGUUACGUUAUGUGGCAAGGUUAAGCACUUAAGGUGUGGAGCCGUAGCGAAAGCGAGUCUUAACUGGGCGACAUAGUCACAUGACGUAGACCCGAAACCGGGCGACCUACCCAUGAGCAGGAUGAAGCGAAAGUAAAAUUUCGUGGAGGUCCGAACCCACGUACGUUGAAAAGUGCGGGGAUGACUUGUGGGUAGCGGUGAAAUUCCAAUCGAGCUCGGAGAUAGCUGGUUCUCCUCGAAAUAGCUUUAGGGCUAGCCUUGAAUGUAGAGAUGUGGAGGUAGAGCACUGAAUGUCCUAGGGGGUAUUGCACUUACCGAAGACUAUCAAACUCCGAAUGCCAUAAUCUUUUAUUCAGGAGUCAGACUAUGGGUGAUAAGGUUCAUAGUCGAAAGGGAAAGAGCCCAGACCGUCAGCUAAGGUCCCUAAAUGUAUGUUAAGUGGUAAAGGAUGUGGGAUUGCAUAGACAACCAGGAUGUUGGCUUAGAAGCAGCCAUUCAUUUAAAGAGUGCGUAAUAGCUCACUGGUCGAGUGAUCCUGCGCCGAAGAUUUCCGGGGCUAAAACAUACUACCGAAGCUACGGCAUCGAAAGAUGGGUAGAGGAGCUUCCCAUGCAGGAUGAAGCAGUACCGUAAGGAGCUGUGGACAGUAUGGGAGAGAGAAUGUUGGCAUGAGUAGCGAGAUGAAGGUGAGAAUCCUUCAGGCCGUAAACCCAAGGUUUCCAGGGGAAGGUUCGUCCUCCCUGGGUUAGUCGGGACCUAAGCUCAGGCCGAAAGGCGUAGGCGAUGGACAACAGGUUGAAAUUCCUGUACUACCGAUAAUCGUUUGAGAGAUGGGAUGACACAGUAGGAUAAGCUGAGCACACUGUUGGUUAUGUGUGUCUAAGUAUUGAGGCAGAUCGAAUAGGCAAAUCCGUUUGAUUAAUGCUGGGAUACGAUGGGGAGCGAAACUAAGUAGCGAAGCAGCUGAUUUCACACUGUCGAGAAAAGUCUCUAUCGAGAUUAAAGGUACCCGUACCGCAAACCGACACAGGUGGGUGAGGAGAGUAUCCUAAGGCCAGCGAGAGAACUGUUGUUAAGGAACUCGGCAAAAUGACCCCGUAACUUAGGGAUAAGGGGUGCCCCAGAAAUGGGGCCGCAGAGACGGCGGCCGUAACUAUAACGGUCCUAAGGUAGCGAAAUUCCUUGUCGGGUAAGUUCCGACCCGCACGAAAGGCGUAACGAUUUGGGCACUGUCUCAACAACAGACUCGGUGAAAUUGUAGUCCCGGUGAAGAUGCCGGGUACCUGCGACAGGACGGAAAGACCCCAUGGAGCUUUACUGUAGCUUGACAUUGGGUCUCGGUACUACAUGUACAGGAUAGGUGGGAGACUGAGAAAUCUGGGCGUCAGUUUAGAUGGAGUCAUCCUUGGGAUACCACCCUUGUAGUAUUGGGACUCUAACCAUAGGCCAUGAAUCUGGUCUUGGGACACUGUCUGGUGGGCAGUUUGACUGGGGCGGUCGCCUCCCAAAAGGUAACGGAGGCGCUCAAAGGUUCCCUCAGUACGGUCGGAAAUCGUACGAAGAGUGUAAAGGCAAAAGGGAGCUUGAUUGCAAGACAUACAGGGCCAUCGCUCAACGGAUAAAAGCUACCCUGGGGAUAACAGGCUUAUCUCCCCCAAGAGUCCACAUCGACGGGGAGGUUUGGCACCUCGAUGUCGGCUCAUCACAUCCUGGGGCUGUAGUUGGUCCCAAGGGUUGGGCUGUUCGCCCAUUAAAGUGGUACGCGAGCUGGGUUCAGAACGUCGUGAGACAGUUCGGUCCCUAUCCGUCGCAGGCGUAGGAAAUUUGAGGAGAUCUGUCCUUAGUACGAGAGGACCGGGAUGGACAUACCUCUGGUGUACCAGUUGUUCUGCCAAGGGCAUGGCUGGGUAGCUAUGUAUGGAAAGGAUAAGCGCUGAAAGCAUCUAAGCGCGAAGCCAACUUCAAGAUAAGAUUUCCCACCGCAAGGUUAAGAUUCCAGGAAGACUACCUGGUUGA
RNAcentral lists this ribosomal RNA (2624 nucleotides) under human vaginal metagenome. RNAcentral's name for it is "bacterial LSU rRNA". It matches the Rfam family "Bacterial large subunit ribosomal RNA". The record is from RNAcentral.